RNAcentral lists this long non-coding RNA (4908 nucleotides) under Manihot esculenta (cassava). RNAcentral's name for it is "long non-coding RNA (MESC_LNC006879)". The record is from RNAcentral. Lineage: Eukaryota; Viridiplantae; Streptophyta; Magnoliopsida; Malpighiales; Euphorbiaceae.
AUCAAUCAACAAGAACACCAACCUCACUACAACACUUGUAUGCUUGUAAUAAUUAUUUGUUACUGUUUUGUUCAACAAAAGUCCUCUGAACACGUCGCAAGAGCUCAAAGACUACCUAGAAAUCAUGUACGUCAGUGCAGCUCAAUUCGACAAUCCUCCAAAUUAUCCAGUAGAGAGAACCUGCAGCGGAAUUGAUGGAGCCCCAGUAAGGAACUGAUAUUCUUGGAAGAAUUGCUGCAGGUCUCAAAAGUAGAUUUCGUGGAUUGGUUUCAUGCUAUGAUGUAUUCACAUUUGAGCUAAGCAACACGAGUGCAUGGGAUUGGCAGGUUAAUUUAUACUUCUAAAACAAGUAUAAAUUCACUCCAUUUCUUGAAGACUGUUAAUAGUUUUCUUCUUCUGCUUCUUUCAGACAUGUACUCAGAUUGUAAUGCCAAUCGGAUAUGGUUAUAAUGAGACAAUGUUCGAAGCAGAACCUUUUGAUAUAAAGAACUAUACCAAAGACUGUCUAGAUGUUUUUGGUAUCGUGCCUAGGCCUCAUUGGAUGACAACAGAAUUCGGUGGCCAUGUAAGCUUAUGCUACUUCUUUCUUCUUCUUCUUCUUCUUCUUCGAACUCCAGAAAAUCAGAACAUAACAGUGCUUGUAAUGAAAAUCUUUCAGGACAUAAAAACUGUACUGGGAAAUUUUGCAAGCAACAUCAUUUUCUCCAAUGGACUUCAAGACCCCUAUAGCAUUGGAGGGUAAAGAAACAGAUUUCUAAUCCUUUGUUGCAAGUUUUAUACUUUCAUUAAUAUUGAGAGUGCUAAUUCAUUCUUCCUUCUUUGAAAAAUCAACUGCAGAGUUCUAAAAGGCAUAUCAGAUAGUGUUGUUGCAGUGUAUACAGAACUCGGUAUUUUCUGUUCUCCUAGGAAUAUUGUCUGAAUUUCAAAGCUAUUUAUGCAAGAUUUUGAUUGACAGUUUCUGAUGGUAAACAGGAGCCCAUUGCUUGGACCUAUAUCCUCCAGCUCCAGAUGAUCCUGUCUGGUUGGUUGCACAGCGAGAUAAGGAGAUUAAAAUGAUUUCAGCUUGGAUUGCCGAGUAUUAUGCCAAGCUUGGCACCAAAUAAAGCAUUGGUUAAAGAAUUCUGCAUUUAAUAUACAUGUCUUAAGGCCAAAUUGUUCUCAGUGUAAUAACAAACUUGACAGAGAUCCUCUUGUUUGAUAUUUUAAUUAUUGCAUAUAAAAUCCAUAAAAUCAACCAAAGUCAAAGUUAAGAUAAAUUUCUGACUUGUUCAUGUAAGGACUUUUCAGUAACGUUCUUGUUUGAAAUGAAGGUUUUCUAAGCAAAAUACAGUUUUCUGGUUCUUGUCGUUUGGAUGUUCGAAAACAUCUGAAAAAGAAACCCCCCACCUUUUUUUUCCCCCCUUUUUCAAAUCCAUUCUCUUUCCAAUAUAUUUGGACUAUAUUGAUUUUUUAAUAAUAUUUUAAAGAUAAAUUUAAAUAAAAAAAUAAAAUUUAAUAUUUUUUAUCCAUAUUGUAUGACUUAGAGACAAUUUUAAUCAUUUUGUUGUUUUGUUAUAAUAUAUAUAUAUAUAUAUAUAUAUAUAUAUAUAUAUAUAUAUAUAUAUUUAUUUAUUUAUUUAUUUAUUAAAGUUCAUUUAAUAUUCAUUAGAUAUAAAAAAUACUCUCUUCAUCCUAUUUAAUUUUAUUUUAUUUCUAAAAAAAUAUCUCAUUAAUUAUUAUUUUUCUAAAUAAGUAUUUAAAAUAUUUUUUAAUAAUUAAUAAAAUUUAAUGUCUUUAAAAUAAUAUAAUUAGAAAGUUAUAUAUAUAUAUAUAUAAAAUAUUUUUUACCAUUUGUAUUUUUCAACGCAGAAGAUGUUUGAAAAAAUAAAACCUUUUCUUUCCUCUUAAAUAAUAAUAAUAAAUCUUAUUUUAUUGUAUUUCAUUCUAAGUAGAGUGAGUAAUAAAAAAACAAAUACACUUCAAUAAAAAAAAUUACUUUAACUAUAUAAACAAAAAGAGACAAGAAAAAUACAUGAAUUGUCGAAUUAAUCAAGAGAUUUUUUGGUAUAAAUUUAAAUGAGGUUUCACAUAAUUUUUACAGUUGUGUUUGGAUUUCUCCCUAAUUAGAAUUUAAAUUUGAUAUUAAUUGAUUAGAUUUCGUAAAAAAUUUUAAUCAAUAUUUUUUUGUUAAAACAAUAUAAAAGAAACGAGAGUAUAAAAUUUAAAAAAUUUUAUUGUAAUAUUCAAAAGAUUAAAUUUCAAAUAGUUAAGAAAAGAGCAUUUAUAAUAAAAAAAACUUAACACGUAAACUUAUAAAAGUAAUUAAAAAAAUAAUUAAAAUGUAAAAUUCACUCUCUAAAUAGUGUAAUUUUCAGCUCGAAUUUUGUGAUUUCGUUAAAUAAUUAAAAAAAUAAUUAAAAUAUAAAAUUUACUCUCUAAAUGGUAUAAUUUUCGGCUCGAACUUGUGAUUUCGUUACACUUUUAAAAGUCGUAGCAUCUCAAAAUUUUUUUUUCGAAAAGUUACCUUGAGUCUUCGUUUAACGUCGACAAUAAAAAUUAGGUUUAGCUCAAAUUUGCCAUAAAAUUCAAAACUAAUUACUACAUGAAAUCUUGACUCUUUCCUUGCAGUAAUAAUAGUCCUUAAUCAAACUUCAGCCUAGAGAUGUCAUUGAAUUACGUUCAACUAUAUAUUUUCAAGCAACACUAUUUUCAUCACAGUACGUAAAUACUGAUGGAUGAAAAUAUUCAAAACUUGUGGAAACUCUAUGUGUCUGAUAUACCUUGUAAUUGAGUGUCUGAACUAUAUAGUAGGCUACAAGAUUCUGAUUAAGAUUGGGUGUAUCAUCAGGUUCUCGCUGUUUGGAUCCACAAUAUAAUGUUGAUUCAAAGCAAUAACGACUAUAAUUAAUUAAUUUACAUUUAUUUUGAGUUUUUAUAAUCUAAAUAGGACAAAAUCAAUGUUAAUUAUCAUAAAUUAGCCGGCUAUCAAUAAUUUUAAGUCUUGACAAGAAGCUAUAAUCCAAACAGAUCCUAAGACAACAUGAGACUUUAAGCCAACAAAUAUUUAAACAUGAUAGUUUGAGAGCAGAAGAUUCAUAGCUUAAACUGGCAAUGGCUCCAUUUCAUCUAUGGCUUACAUUGCUACUGCUUGGAUCAGUUUGUGCAUCUGCAGUGCAUCCUAGGAAAUUAAAAAGAUUUGGUGGGGUAAGAAGAUUCACAGCUACCAGUGAGCCUUCUUCUGAUCUCCCACCAGAAUAUGAAAUACAUUAUUACACACAAACACUCGAUCAUUUCAACUACUAUCCAGACAGUUAUGCUACGUUUCAGCACAGAUAUAUAUUGAAUUACAAGUACUGGGGUGGAGCUAAUACUAGCUCACCCAUCUUUGUUUACACUGGUGAAGAAGUUGAUGUAACUUACGAUGUUGAGACUUUUAUUAUUGAUCUUGCAGCUCGUUUUAAAGGUUUACUAUUGUACAUAGAGGUAAUUUUUCUCGUGUUGGAACCAGGUCUAGGAAAAUUUUCUCCUUUUCGACAUCUCGUGUAGUAAUUUUUCUGAUGCCUGAUUACUUGUUGCAGCAUCGCUACUAUGGAGAAUCAAUGCCUUUUGGAUCUGAAGAGCAGGCAUUUCAAAAUGCCAGUACUCUUGGAUACCUAAGCUCAGAACAAGCUUUAGCAGAUUAUGCACAGGUGAUUGUAGAUGUUAAGAAGAAUCUGUCAGCAGAAAAUUGCCCAGCUAUAGCAGUUGGAGCAUCUUACGGUGGAAGUAAGUUAAUUAAUUAGACUGAAAUUUUAUUUUUUGUUGGGAAAAUUCAAGAUUCAAGACUAAUCUUUUCUUGUUGUAAUUGAUGAUCAGUGCUUGCAUCCUGGUUUCGUCUAAAAUAUCCCCACAUUGUCAUUGGUGCUUUGGCAUCAUCCUCUCCCAUACUCUAUUUCGAUGAUAUUACACCACAAAAUGGGUACCAUGUUGUUGUCUCCAAGGAUUUUAGAGUAAGAAAUCUGUCAAGUAAUAUCGGAAAAUUUCAAGUUUCAGGUUUUUGUAACUUGCAGGAUCUAAAUAUCCUGUAUGUGUAUUGACUGGAGCAGGAUACGAGUGAGAGUUGUUACAACACAAUAAAACAAUCCUGGUCUGAGAUUGAUAGAAUAGCAGCUGAACCAAAUGGGCUAACGACACUUAGCAACAAGUUCAACGUUUGCAGGUAAUCAAUUAACAAGAUCGCCAAUCUCAUACUCUUGUAUGAUUAUAAUCUCUGAUAAAAUAAUGCUGUAUUGUUUUGUUCGACAAAAAAGCCCUUUGAACACCACGCAAGAGCUCAAGGACUACCUAGAAAUCAUGUACAUCAGUGCAGCUCAAUACGACAAUCCUCCAAAUUAUCCAGUAGAGAGUACCUGCAGUGGAAUUGAUGGAGCCCCAGAAGGAACUGAUAUUCUUGGAAGAAUUGCUGCAGGUCUCGCAAACAGAUUUCGUGGGUUCGUUUCAUGCAAUAAUGUGUUUACGUUUGAAAUUAGCAACAAGAGUGCAUGGGAUUGGCAGGUUUAUAUUUCUGACCACUUAUAAAUUCACUCCUCUCUUAGGGGUUUUUACCUUUUAGGUGUUAAAAAAAAGUAUUUAAGAAAGGAAUAAAAAAAAAAUAUUUAGGAAUAGAAAUUCUGAGACGGUUAGAUUAAAAAAAAAAAUCAAGGUCAGAAGCGUGGCAGGUCUUAUCUUGUCGUCUGGUAGUGAUUUCUUUGCCAGUCGACAAAACAUUCCAUUUUAUUUUUUUUCAAAGGCCUGUCAUGCUUUUAAAGCGCAGCAAGUGGAGGUCAUUGGACUACCAUGUUGGCAGUUAAAAGUCCUAUUUUCUAAAUGCUUUUUUCUGAACUUUCCUAAAUAUUGUAUUUUAACACUUAAAAUCUAUCCCCUGUGUUAUGUCUUAAACGCAUGAACUCU